GAUGAACGCUGGCGGCGUGCCUAAUACAUGCAAGUAGAACGCUGAAGGAGGAGCUUGCUCUUCUGGAUGAGUUGCGAACGGGUGAGUAACGCGUAGGUAACCUGCCUGGUAGCGGGGGAUAACUAUUGGAAACGAUAGCUAAUACCGCAUGACAACAGUUAUUGCAUGAUAACUGUUUAAAAGGGGCAACUGCUCCACUACCAGAUGGACCUGCGUUGUAUUAGCUAGUUGGUGAGGUAACGGCUCACCAAGGCGACGAUACAUAGCCGACCUGAGAGGGUGAUCGGCCACACUGGGACUGAGACACGGCCCAGCCUCCUACGGGAGGCAGCAGUAGGGAGUCUUCGGCAAUGGACGGAAGUCUGACCGAGCAACGCCGCGUGAGUGAAGAAGGUUUUCGGAUCGUAAAGCUCUGUUGUAAGAGAAGAACGAGUGUGAGAGUGGAAAGUUCACACUGUGACGGUAUCUUACCAGAAAGGGACGGCUAACUACGUG
This 495-nucleotide ribosomal RNA is filed under the name uncultured bacterium. Its description in RNAcentral is "partial 16S ribosomal RNA". It matches the Rfam family "Bacterial small subunit ribosomal RNA", at positions 28 to 507 of the family's 1533-position model. The record is from RNAcentral.